CCUACGGGUGGCAGCAGUGAGGAAUAUUGGUCAAUGGCCGUAAGGCUGAACCAGCCAAGUCGCGUGAGGGAAGACUGCCCUAUGGGUUGUAAACCUCUUUUGUCCGGGGACAAAGUCGUCCACGUGUGGCUGUCCGCAGGUACCUCAAGAAUAAGGACCGGCUAACUCCGUGCCAGCAGCCGCGGUAAUACGGAAGGUCCGGGCGUUAUCCGGAUUUAUUGGGUUUAAAGGGUGCGUCGGCCGGGCUUUCAGCCUGCCGUAAAAUGUUGUGGCUCAACCAUGGCAGUGCGGCGCGAACUGGAGACCUUGAGUGCGCGGAAGGCAGGCGGAAUUCGUGGGGUAGCGGUGAAAUGCUUAGAUAUCACGCAGAACCCCGAUUGCGAAGGCAGCCUGCCGCAGCGCGACUGACGCUGAAGCUCGAAAGCGCGGGUAUCGAACAGGAUUAGAUACCCUUGUAGUC
RNAcentral lists this ribosomal RNA (460 nucleotides) under uncultured bacterium. RNAcentral's name for it is "partial 16S ribosomal RNA". It matches the Rfam family "Bacterial small subunit ribosomal RNA", at positions 338 to 795 of the family's 1533-position model. The record is from RNAcentral.